UGGGCUGGGGCUCGGUGGUGGAGCGCUCGCCUGGCAUGCAUGAGGCACUGAGUUCAAUCCUCAGCACCACAU
Molecule: transfer RNA, 72 nt
Filed under: Ictidomys tridecemlineatus (thirteen-lined ground squirrel)
Lineage: Eukaryota; Metazoa; Chordata; Mammalia; Rodentia; Sciuridae
Also listed under: 1 other name
Description: Spermophilus tridecemlineatus (thirteen-lined ground squirrel) tRNA
Rfam family: tRNA
About the family: Transfer RNA (tRNA) molecules are approximately 80 nucleotides in length.
Source: Rfam by way of RNAcentral